RNAcentral lists this ribosomal RNA (235 nucleotides) under uncultured Staphylococcus sp. RNAcentral describes it as "partial 16S ribosomal RNA". It matches the Rfam family "Bacterial small subunit ribosomal RNA", at positions 105 to 334 of the family's 1533-position model. The record is from RNAcentral. Lineage: Bacteria; Bacillati; Bacillota; Bacilli; Caryophanales; Staphylococcaceae.
GGUGAGUAACACGUGGAUAACCUACCUAUAAGACUGGGAUAACUUCGGGAAACCGGAGCUAAUACCGGAUAAUAUAUUGAACCGCAUGGUUCAAUAGUGAAAGACGGUUUUGCUGUCACUUAUAGAUGGAUCCGCGCCGCAUUAGCUAGUUGGUAAGGUGACGGCUUACCAAGGCGACGAUGCGUAGCCGACCUGAGAGGGUGAUCGGCCACACUGGAACUGAGACACGGUCCAG